Long non-coding RNA from Cephus cinctus (wheat stem sawfly), 1269 nucleotides. RefSeq lists it as uncharacterized. Lineage: Eukaryota; Metazoa; Arthropoda; Insecta; Hymenoptera; Cephidae. The record is from RefSeq and is a predicted model, not a curated record. The transcript is spliced from 3 exons.
UACAUGGAUAGUCAAUUCUCCCUCAAUGUCGUCGUUGGCUUUUGUCAUUCAUUGUGCGACGAAUUCAAUGAAAGCCAACAGCAAGUCUCCCUCAACUCGGUAUCGCAGCUAAAGGGAAGCUCGUUUAAUUGAAACUCGAAUCGCGUCUCUCUGUAAUCCAAAAGGGCGACAUUCGUAUGCCACGCGAAUAUUUAGUUAGAUAUUUAUAGAUCCACCUCAGAUGCGUGUUUGUGAAAUAGAGACACAGAGAACAUAGCAGUGACAAUAGGAACCAGGUAUCAUCGUUACGGCCAUGUUUGUCUGUGGGUUCUGUAAACCACCGUCAGUGGCGCCACCGCAGGAACCGCCGCCUGACCAGUGCUCUGUUGCCGUUACUUCUUCUUUCUCCAGCAAUGUAACUUCUCUCAGUCCCUUUGGCUUUUACCGUUUAUAAAUUAUGAUAACUUCAUUUGAAAUGGGUUUUCAUAAAUAUUUGAAGAAACACGACGGGCGUUGCCGUUUCCACGAUCAAAUUGUGCAAUACUGGGAGCGUAACUCCUUUAAAUAAAGUAAAGCGCUAAUGGAUUCUCUCUCAGUUCUUCACCAGCAUACUAUACACGGAAUCGCAUGCAGUCUGAACGUGGUCGAAGCCGGAGGACCCAGGUGCCAGGACUCGCACGACCCGUAAAACGGAAGGGAGACAAGAGGAGCCCAGGCAUCCAUUUUCCAGGAGGAACAUGGCCGCGCAACAAGACUUGUCUCUGUACGUGCAGGAUGCUGUAGCUGGCCAAAAAUUCCAAAAAGAAAAGAUAAAACCGUUAACGUGGUAAUACAGUAGUGUCGGAGGGAGCCACCGUCGCGUUACUUGGUAAGGUCGGCAGGCAGCUUGAAAUAUAGCGAAAUAAAAUAACGCUACCCGGAGGGACAUUAUAAAUAGUACUACCCUUUGUCCUGGCAACAUGCUACGAAACAAUAAAAAUUUUUACUCUCCUAUCCAACAGGGAUAUAUACAUGUAUAUAUAUAUAUCCUUGUCUAUGUAUACACAUAUGCAGACAUACAUAGCCGCUCUCGGCUUUCUCGAGAUAAAUCCUAAAUUAUCCUGGGCCAAUUACUCCCGUGAAAUAUUGUUAUCUUCCGUGCUGCGAGGAAUGUCCGAAUUUUCCAAAAUUGCCAAGAGAUCUGCUGAACAAGAGGAGCCUACCCGCAUGGACCUAGUAUGUUAUUGUAUUACAAAAACUGUGUCUUCCCGGCGAUGGUAUUACUGAGAAAUUCUAUUAAGACUAUUUUUC